AUGGGAUCCUGUGAACCCAACCAAUGGAUGGGCUGGAUUCUCUUAAUGUUUAUGUUCUUUCAGGUUCUAAGCUUGGGAUCUGGAAUCGUGCUUAUAGUUUUCUGGAUUCUAGCACUUUUUUGCACUGGAGAAUUUCCUAAAGAACAUUAUUCUGGGAGGACAGAUGGCAAAUGUGUGUCGGUGUCAGGUUUAUCAGAGUUUGGAAGUUGGAUGAAGAGGCAGAGAACAGGGCCAUUACGUGACCCAGCCUAUGCCCCUUGUGCCAGAGAUGGAAUGAGAAUAAACAGAAUUGAGGUGGCCCCCACUCCUACGGACACAGCUCUUUCACCUAUACGGUUUUCUUCUGUAUUUCCUGAUAUAAGUCUCCCCCUGACCCCACUGGAAUGCAUGGAUUUGCAUUUGUUCUUCCAGGAGUGUCUAACUGGAUGUCCUCUGCAAAUUCAUCAAAUGUGCCAUCUUUUCCAUCAUGUGGUCAUCCCUGGGAUCAUCAUCGAACAUCGUUCUCCACCACUCUGGUCCAUGGAUGGUUGUUCUCUUUUGUCCAUUCCAUCAAAUGUCCUGAACACUGUCAGAAGAGGGAAAAGGCUAAUGGAGCUGUUAAGUCUAAGUAUGACUGCCAAGAUGAAUCCAAAAAAGCCAAAGAGCCUGAGCAUGUCAGACCUUCCUGCAGCCUGCCACACACACUUAAAACCCCAGGGAAAUGAGUGCGGCUCAGGAGGGGGGAAGAGCGCCAACCAGUCAGAUUGCUCAAUCCCAAGACAAAGAACUCGUGGAUCAUGGGCUAGAAAAAAGGGUUAA
This 798-nucleotide long non-coding RNA is filed under the name Canis lupus familiaris (dog). RNAcentral's name for it is "lncRNA (ENSCAFG00040022839.1)". The record is from RNAcentral. Lineage: Eukaryota; Metazoa; Chordata; Mammalia; Carnivora; Canidae.